GCUGAGGGACUCGCCCCCGGAGGAUGCGGUGGAGUUUGUGCUUUGCUGCAUCCGUCACUGAAGAACAAAAUAAGAGUAAAGGAGACAAGCUGCAGAGCAUGGGAGGCUGUGGGGUCUUCUGAAACCUUUGCUGGGCUUUCCGCGGAGCAUGAGCUUUUAAAACGAAUUCUUUUCAAAGAAACCCAUUUGUGUAGCUGGAAAAAUGAUACACAUGCUAAAUGCAGCAGCCUAUCGGGUGAAAUGGACCAGAUCCGGUGCUGCUAAAAGGGCUGCCUGCCUGGUGGCUGCGGCAUAUGCUCUGAAAACCCUCUAUCCCAUCAUUGGCAAGCGUUUAAAGCAGCCUGGCCACAGGAAGGCAAAAGCAGAAGCUUACUCGCCUGCAGAGAACAGAGAAAUACUGCAUUGCACGGAGAUCAUCUGUAAAAAACCUGCGCCGGGACUAAAUGCAGCUUUUUUCAAACAGCUACUAGAACUUCGGAAAAUCCUCUUUCCAAAACUUGUGACCACUGAAACGGGGUGGCUCUGCCUCCACUCGGUGGCUCUAAUCUCAAGAACAUUUCUCUCUAUUUAUGUGGCUGGUCUGGAUGGGAAAAUCGUGAAAAGCAUCGUGGAAAAGAAGCCUCGGACUUUCAUCAUCAAAUUAAUCAAGUGGCUUAUGAUUGCUAUCCCUGCUACCUUUGUCAACAGUGCUAUCAGGUACCUGGAAUGCAAACUGGCAUUGGCCUUUAGAACUCGCUUAGUAGACCAUGCCUAUGAGACCUAUUUCGCAAAUCAGACUUAUUAUAAGGUGAUAAAUAUGGAUGGGAGGCUGGCAAACCCUGACCAGUCUCUUACCGAAGACAUUAUGAUGUUCUCGCAAUCUGUGGCUCACCUGUAUUCCAACCUUACCAAACCUAUUUUAGAUGUCAUUCUAACCUCCUAUACUCUCAUCCGGACAGCUACAUCCAGAGGAGCAAGCCCUAUAGGGCCCACCCUGUUAGCAGGACUUGUCGUGUAUGCCACUGCUAAAGUACUGAAAGCUUGCUCGCCCAAAUUUGGUUCGCUGGUGGCUGAAGAAGCCCACAGGAAAGGCUACCUGCGGUAUGUCCACUCCCGAAUCAUAGCCAAUGUAGAAGAAAUUGCCUUCUACAGAGGACAUAAGGUAGAAAUGAAGCAGCUGCAGAAAUGUUACAAGGCUUUAGCUUACCAGAUGAACCUGAUUUUAUCCAAACGUUUAUGGUACAUCAUGAUAGAACAAUUCUUGAUGAAGUAUGUGUGGAGCAGCUGUGGACUAAUUAUGGUGGCUAUACCCAUUAUCACUGCAACGGGCUUUGCAGAUGGUGAUCUGGAGGAUGGUCCAAAGCAGGCUAUGGUUAGCGAUCGGACAGAGGCCUUCACCACUGCCCGGAACUUACUGGCCUCUGGAGCUGAUGCAAUUGAAAGGAUUAUGUCUUCAUACAAAGAGAUCACUGAACUAGCAGGUUAUACUGCUAGAGUAUACAAUAUGUUCUGGGUCUUCGAUGAAGUGAAGAGAGGCAUUUAUAAGAGAACUGUCACUCAGGAACCUGAAAACCAUAGCAAGCGUGGAGGUAACCUGGAACUACCCCUCAGCGACACCCUGGCCAUCAAAGGAACAGUUAUUGAUGUGGAUCAUGGAAUCAUUUGUGAAAAUGUUCCCAUAAUUACACCAGCGGGCGAAGUGGUGGCUUCCAGGCUAAACUUCAAAGUAAGAUGAUAUUCAAGAAACUUCUGAUUGUUGGCCUCACACUAAUAGAGAGCAACUCAGAGUUCAUGUACCUUAUGUUAAAUGCUCGGAGAGGAGCGUGUGGAAAGGGGAAAUCCGAAAGGUGGAAGAAGGGAUGCAUCUCUUGAUAACUGGUCCCAACGGUUGUGGGAAAAGCUCUCUCUUCAGAAUCUUAAGCGGGCUGUGGCCUGUGUAUGAAGGAGUCCUUUAUAAACCGCCUCCCCAACAUAUGUUCUAUAUUCCACAGAGGCCAUACAUGUCUCUUGGAAGUCUCCGGGAUCAAGUAAUUUACCCUGACUCAGCGGAUGACAUGCGUGAGAAAGGUUACACUGACCAAGACCUAGAACGCAUCCUGCACAGCGUGCACCUCUACCACAUAGUUCAAAGAGAAGGAGGAUGGGAUGCAGUCAUGGACUGGAAAGAUGUCCUUUCCGGAGGGGAGAAGCAGAGAAUGGGCAUGGCGCGGAUGUUUUACCAUAAACCGAAGUAUGCAUUGCUGGAUGAAUGUACCAGUGCCGUGAGCAUCGACGUUGAAGGAAAGAUAUUUCAGGCUGCUAUUGGGGCUGGGAUUUCCCUACUCUCCAUAACACACAGGCCUUCUCUGUGGAAAUACCACACUCAUCUAUUACAAUUCGAUGGCGAAGGAGGCUGGCGCUUUGAACAGUUGGACACUGCUAUCCGUUUAACGUUGAGUGAGGAAAAGCAAAAGUUGGAGUCGCAGCUCGCUGGAAUUCCCAAAAUGCAACAGAGACUCAACGAACUAUGCAAAAUUCUGGGGGAAGACUCGGUGCUGAAAACAAUCCAAACUGCAGAAAAGACAUCCUAAUUUAUCUUGACAUGUUUUCAGUUACCUUCUAGGUGAAGCCUCAGAGACUCUCUCUUUACUGCAUGCAGUAUGUUAAGCUAAGUGCAGAGAAAGCAAGCCGGCAAAAAAAAAGUAUUUUGUAUGAUUUUAGCAUCGAGGAAAUAUAUGAAGACUUUUCAAACAAACAAACAAAAAAAGCAAACAAAUUAGUUGAGAUUAGUCAUGACUUCAGUUAGUGCCCAGUGAAAAGCUAACUCACCUGUAAAGCAGGACUUUCUAGGACUAGGAGAAAGUGGCCUGAGGUUCUUCAUGUAGGAGAAUGCCCCAAAACAAAGCAGCAAAGGCACCAGGAGGACUGAUGUCAGCUGUGCAGAAUUAGGACUUUGAGGGUUCUUUCAGCCCAGUUAACAAGGACAAUAGGUGCAACACCUGGAAUCCAUAAUCAGCAUUGCUAGGGGCCAAGUCAAACUGUGUACAAAAUAACAGGCGUUUUGAUACAUAAUUUCAGUCUGAAAAAAAAGUGCAUUUUAAUGACAGUGGUUGAAAAGAAGCAUGGCUGGACAAGUAUAAAGUACUGUAUUUAAAUUUUUCAUACUUUCAGCAUCUUGAUACAGAUACCAAAAAUUAACACGAAUAAAAAGUGUAUUUGCUUAAAAACAAGCCCUUUUGUUUUUUAAAAAGAGAAUUACCCAUACGGAAGAGGAGGAUCCUAACAAUGCUUGUUCUGGCUGUUGCUUGACUCUGCAGUGCUAUCUGGUACAAUUUCUACCCAGAAAUAUUGCUUGUUUUGUGCCCACAAAAAAGCAUUUUAGAAACUUGAUUGCUGUCCUAAGUUUCCUUGAUCCUGGAAAUCACAGUUAUGUUCUUAUACUCUGCCUUUGAAGCAAUCUUUUAAGGCAUACAAGUUUUUUGUUCCUUUUUCUUCUGAGAAAAAAGACACUCAGAUUUACUUUAGUCACAUGAUUUAUUUGGAAAGAGCUGUAGAGAUCAAUAGAGGUCUUGUGACCCCCUGAUUCAGUGCUUUCAUCACUACUGACCCUUAAAUUUAACUGGGAUAUAAUGUCAAUUUAAAAAUUAUGUGAGCCAAGCAGUGGUGGCGCACACCUUUAAUCCCAGCACUCAGGAGGCAGAGGCAGGCGGAUUUCUGAGUUCGAGACCAGUCUGGUCUACAAAGUGAGUUCCAGGACAGCCAGGGCUACACAGAGAAACCCUGUCUCGGGAAAAAUAAAAUUAUGUGGGCCAGGUAAAUGUCUAGAAAUGGAAUUGUAGGCAAAGCAGGGCAUAAGGAAAAAAUUUAAGUAGAUGAAUAAAUAUUUUUAAGGCAUGGAGGAAUGGCAGUUGCUUCUCUUGCAGGGGUCCCGAGUUCUAUUGCCAGCAUCACAUGGUGGCUCAGAACUGUGUCUAAUUCCAGUUCCAGGGAAUCUGACACCCUCUUCUGGACUUCAGGAGCCCUGCAUGCAUGAAGUCCUCAUACAUACAUGCAGACAAAACAUUCUUAACAUUAAAAAGUCAAUAAAUCUGAAAGAUAGUAAGGAUAUUGAAAUUGGCAAUGUUGAUGUUAUUAUCACUUAUUACUGUUUGCAAGAAAUAAAAACAAGUCGCAAAUGCAAUGGUCAUCAGUCUUUGACUUAAAAUCAAUCAAGAACGACAUCACACCACAGCCUAUGUAUAUCCACCCAAUGCUGAAGUGUCUGCAGUAUCGGCACUCAGAAGGGCAGUGAAUUGAAGCUUCAUACUACUGAACAUGACGAGAGAAAACCCUAUAUGAGUACGUCAUAUGAAAUAGAGCUCAUCUGAAGUACAGAGCCAUAACUGAUGCUUUAAUCUCAUCCUCUCUCAGGCUAUGGUGAGGUAUGUAAAAACCUGAGAUGAAUAGUUCUAGGGGCAUAAGAUUUUGUUUAUGUAUUUAGGCAGCACUUUAGCCGACGCUAACUUGCAAUAGACUGUUUGGAAGACAGACUACCUGGAAGUCACUCACAGUGAUUGUUGUAAGAAAUUACCACAUUUCCACAUUUUAAAUUCCCCAAAUUGUAUGUAAUUUGAGUUACCAAUAAAUGUACCCACCUUACAUGAAGCAAUACAAUAUGAGGUCCCAGUCAGUACUUUUUAAUUUGUCUGUUACUACUACUUCUUACUAAAAAUGUGGGGGAAGAAUUAAAUAUUUUGUUUAGUAAAAGUAUAGAACCAGAAAUUGACACUUGAUUUUUUUAAAAAAACAAUUCACUAAUCUUUAACAACCAUGUUAGCAGCUACCCAGGUUAUUUGAUAAAGGGGAAACAUUUGAAGCAAAUGUCUUACAUUAGCUCUGAAAGGCACAAGAGGAAAAUUCAAAGUUCACAUUUGAAAUUAUGCUUUUUCACAACUUAAAAUUAAACCACGUAAGACAUGAUAUCUUACAUUUUUAAGCUUUGCAAAGGAUGCCAACAUCAAAACUAGAUUUGUAAUUAGACCUUAUUUAAUAGAUUUUUACCAAUGAGCUGAGGUGAAAUAAAUAAAACUCAUUACACAGUGGUUUAAAGAUGUCUGAAAUUCUAUACUUAAAAUCUAGUCGUGAAAUUUAAAUGGUAAAGGUUUCAGGACAAACUAUCUGUUUUCCAGUAGCUUUUUGGUGACUACUGAUUUUCUGAAUUACUUUUUCUGAGACCAAAUACCCUCUGUCUUAGAGGGAGAAUGUGAUGUGAAUUUGUGUUGUGUACAAUCCGACUCUUUCCAAACUGGCCCCACAGGAGACCGGAGCUGAUAUUCUCACAGGCAUCCUUGUGAGAACAUAAAGACCACUGAGAAAUAUCUUCUAUGACUAGGACAAAGAAUAACAAGGAAAAUGAAGUAUAGCUCCGGCUAUCAAACUACUUAUCUUUUCCUUAGAAAAGGCGUACAUUUGUGGAGCUUGAUUACUUUGGGGGGAUAGCUCAUAACCUGCAUUGUGACAUCCUAUUUCUGCAGCAUGCUGUGGUAUGCCAAGCAUGAGUCUGACGCCGUGUUCACCCUAAAAUCCUCUUGAAUCACAAGGCUGACGAUCUUACUUGAAAACCAACCCGAUUUACCCUAUGUUUACACAGGAAGGGUUUUCCCUUCGAUAGUUAAUUUGACUUUUGUCCCAAAUUUUGGUGUGUCAAUAAAAGUAAAAACAAAUGUAUUGGUUUUUUUUUUCCUUCGGGGCAUUAAUUCCAAGUAGAAGCGUGUAUUUGUGAGAGAUGUAGCUUAUCUCCAUGUUUGGAAUAGGUCUUUGACUGUGUAAGCCAAAAGAGCUUGUUAUACAUUGGAACCCUGAGGAAGUUAUGCGCUUUAAGACAUGAUAAAUGCGGCAACAGAUAUUAAAUUAUUUGUUUAAAGAGA
Molecule: RNA transcript, 5864 nt
Organism: Mus musculus (house mouse)
Lineage: Eukaryota; Metazoa; Chordata; Mammalia; Rodentia; Muridae
Gene: Abcd2
Gene name: ATP-binding cassette, sub-family D member 2
Exons: 10
Source: RefSeq, marked reviewed